This 439-nucleotide ribosomal RNA is filed under the name uncultured bacterium. RNAcentral describes it as "partial 16S ribosomal RNA". It matches the Rfam family "Bacterial small subunit ribosomal RNA", at positions 339 to 795 of the family's 1533-position model. The record is from RNAcentral.
CUACGGGUGGCUGCAGUGGGGAAUCUUGCACAAUGGAGGAAACUCUGAUGCAGCGAUGCCGCGUGAGUGAAGAAGGCCCUUGGGUUGUAAAGCUCUUUUGUCGGGAAAGAUAAUGACUGUACCCGAAGAAUAAGGUCCGGCUAACUUCGUGCCAGCAGCCGCGGUAAUACGAAGGGACCUAGCGUAAUUCGGAAUUACUGGGCGUAAAGCGCGCGUAGGCGGUUAAGUAAGUUAAUUGUGAAAGCCCAAAGCUCAACUUUGGAAUUGCAAUUAAAACUACUUAGCUAGAGUUUAUCAGAGGAAAGCGGAAUACAUAGUGUAGAGGUGAAAUUCGUAGAUAUUAUGUAGAACACCAGUUGCGAAGGCGGCUUUCUGGGAUAACACUGACGCUGAGGUGCGAAAGUAUGGGUAGCGAAGAGGAUUAGAUACCCUGGUAGUC